UACGGGGGGGGCAAGCGUUGUUCGGAAUUACUGGGCGUAAAGGGCUCGUAGGCGGCCAACUAAGUCGGACGUGAAAUCCCUCAGCUUAACUGGGGAACUGCGUCCGAUACUGGAUGGCUCGAGUGUGGGAGAGGAAUGCGGAAUUCCAGGUGUAGCGGUGAAAUGCGUAGAUAUCUGGAGGAACACCGGUGGCGAAGGCGGCAUUCUGGACCAUAACUGACACUGAGAGACGAAAGCCAGGGGAGCAAACAGG
This 253-nucleotide ribosomal RNA is filed under the name uncultured bacterium. Its description in RNAcentral is "partial 16S ribosomal RNA". It matches the Rfam family "Bacterial small subunit ribosomal RNA", at positions 524 to 776 of the family's 1533-position model. The record is from RNAcentral.